Long non-coding RNA from Scophthalmus maximus (turbot), 3652 nucleotides. RefSeq lists it as uncharacterized. NCBI's taxonomy places the organism in Eukaryota, Metazoa, Chordata, Actinopteri, Pleuronectiformes, Scophthalmidae. The record is from RefSeq and is a predicted model, not a curated record. The transcript has 2 exons.
CCCAGGAGACGUAGCUGAUAGUCUUUGAAGCCCUCCUUUGAUAGUGUUGUUUUCUGUGCACCCCCUGCAUCUCGCUCCCUCUAUCGCUCACUUGAUCGUUCCUUCUUUCCACACACAAUGAAGCUCGCAAACAUUAGUCUGCACAAUGUGAAGACAAGGAGAGAAGCCUCUGGUUUUGAUCCACCUGCCAGCCUGAGGAUCUCAGCACUGCGGUGACUAACACUGGGCCUAUGGCAUAGUUAGCUCCCUCUUUCCCCGAAGAGUGACAGAUGGAAAGUCCACGGGCAUGAUGUAAAUUUCCCACAGCCACAGUCUAUUUACAACUUCCUCUGCACAGAUGUAAGUUGUCACAGAGCGUCCUCUGUUUAUUAUGGUCUCUUCUCAGUGCACCGCUGGGGAAUAAAUGAAAAGGCACAAGUUGUGUCCCUGUAUCGGACAGUCUGAAAGCAAAUGUGAGGACAUAUCUAUUUUGGAAAAAAAUGACAAGUAGCUCCCACGUCAAUGGUUGUGAUUUGGUUUAAGGCUGACCGAAAGAAAGCAAGAUCACAUUGUUUGUAAAGAAAAGGAAAAAAACAUUAGGUUCAUAUGGCCAGUACACUGCAAAAAAAGAAAAAGUUAGGAAAACUGAAAAAUUCCAGUCAACUCAUUGCACUAGAUUUUUUUAAUUUUGAGGCCAAAUCAAAAUCCUAUGUUUUCAAAAAAAAGUUGGCGCAGCUAACUAUCCUUUUUUCAGAUAAUUUAACUUUCAUUUCAUUCCAAACUAUUUUUUUUUUUACCAUCCUAGUGCGAUCCAGUUAUUGGGUACCCCCCAUAUAUUUCGCAUGACUUCUUUUAAGGCUGCAUUUGAUAUAUUUCAUAUAGCACUGAGAGAAACGACUCAAAGCGCUUUUACACUACAAAUCACAUUCACCCAUUCACACACACACGCACACACACACACACACACACACACACAAACACACUCAUGGAGCGAUUCCUCUUACAUACAUCAUUCACAUUCUGACAGAAUGCAGACUAUGCCGCACGCUGACUUGAAGUAGCGGGGGAUCGAACCACCGACCUUUAGUGAGUGAAAAAUAUUCAUUACAUUUGAUUGAUUGAAUAUCCACAUAAAAUUUUUCCCAUACAAAUUUUCUGAUAAGGUCAACAAGCCUCAGCAAAUUACAGACCAAAACACUCACCUUUUGAAAAAAAGAGGAAACUAAUUAAGUUAGAGCAAAUACUUAGUUAAGUUUAUAAUGGCCUUAAAUACUUUUUUGCUCAUUUUAUCGAAAAUUCCUCAUGAGGUAAGCAAUUUCAAUUCUUUCAUAUUUACAGGGAAAAUCAACUCACUAUUCUCUCCACGGGAUCCAGACGUUACAGAGCUAAACCAAAACAGCAUAUCAGUGGAUGUUAAGUGCUUUGCUGCUCUGAAAAUGUUUUUUUUUGUCCCUGUUAUUGAAACAUGCUUUUCUGACCGAAUAAGACAGAUUUGAACGUCUCCCGCCUAUAACAGGGAGCAUACAGUGCUCCAGAUUGCGCACAUUGAUUCUACUGUAGCUUCCUGUAAAAGCUUAUUAUGUCAUCUCAAGUCAGUAAUAGAAUUAGCCUGACAUUUUGGAAAAAAGCACAUCUUUGCUUAAAAUCAGAAGAUUGACACCACUUUCAUGUCUGCGCCCUGUAGCUGCAGCCGGGAGGCGAUACGUUUAGCUUAGCCUAAAGACUGCUGGGGGAAACUGCUAUCCUGGUUCUCCCUGUAGUUCACAAAUGGGCCUGCCAGCACCUCACCAAUAUGUGUGUCCUAUGUAUUUUUUUAUGAACAAAAACAUACAUGUAAAAAAAAGCAUUUUUACAGCUUGUAUUUCUACAGUCAUGAAAGCUGAAAGUAGGGUUGCUGAGUGGGCUACAGCGCGACUGGUUAGGGACUGUAACUUUACAAAACUUUCAUUUCAUUUUCUAGAGUAACACUUUGAGAGUACCAUAGCAGUAGGCCUAACAAGUAGGCCUAAAAUCCACCUGUUUUAGAUUUUUUAUCAGCCAUUAUGACAUAUGAUUAUGACCACCUGCCAAAUAUUGUGCAGGUCCCCCUGUUGCCACCAAAACAGCUCUGACCCGUCGAGGCAUCGACUCCACAACACCUCUGAAGGUGUGCUGUGGUGUCUGGCGCCAAGACGUCAGCAGCAGGUCCUUUAAGUCCUGUAAUGCCGAGUUCACCCUACGCAAUCUUAAGCCCGAUUUUCAGCUCGCCGGCAAAUCCUGGAGAUGUAGCAAGUCGGAGGUAAUUCAGCGUUAUAUCUAGCAUGUUAAAUAUCUGGACGCGUCGGGAACCAGCUGGGAACCCGUCUCCUGCAGCGUGAGCCGUGACGUGACAUGCAGGCAGUGGGUGCGUCAACCUGGAAACACGGUGGAGGAACUGUAGCACAACAACACAACAACACUCUUCACCCAUAUUCUCUGCCUUUUCCGUGUUUCUGAAUUAAAAUCAUCCAGCGGACUUUAUGCGGGGCUGCAGCAGAUGAUGAGCGUAACCUCGAGCUGCUUUCACGCGGAACCACAUAUUAACGCGUCAAGUAACAAUUUCUCUCCGCACACAACACACAGAGCGUGCGCACAAACUACUUCCUGUUUCUGACCUGUCAACAUAAGAGUAUCCUGCAAUAUAUUGAACACAGCUUCUUUUUGACGUCCAUUGUGAAAGUGACAAACAAUCCGUGUUUCGCGAGUGUAUCCCAUAUCUUCCAUUGUCAGUUCUCGCUUGUUUUCGUGAAAAAAAGAACGUGAUUUGGAGACAUUUCUCCUGGUGAAGGAUCGUGCAGUGUGGUAGGGUGCAUUAUCCUACUGAAGGAGGCCACUGCCAUUUGGGAAUACUGUUUCCAUGAAGGAGGGUACUCUGUACUUGGCACUCUUCCCUGGCACCCGGCUGUCCACAUGCUUUCGGCGGUGGGCAGGGGUCAACAUGGGCACUAUGGCCGGUCUGCGGCUACGCAGCCCCAUAUGCAGCAAGCUGAGAUGCACUGUGUUCGGACACAUUCCUAUCAGAAGCAACAUUAACUUUCUCCAGCUGUUUGUUCUACAGUAGCUCUUCAGUUGGAUCGGACUACAAGGAGCUAUCCUUUCGUACCCCGUGCACAUCAAUGAGACUUGGGCGCCCAUGACCCCAUUGCCGGUUCACCUGUCCUGUUGUCCUUCCUUAGAACACUUUGACGACUGCCGAUCAGGAACACCCGACAAGACCUGCAGUUUCACAGAUGCUUGUCUAGCCAUCACUGCAAAGUCGCUCAAGAUCCUUGCUCUUGCCCAUUUUUGCUGCUUCCAACACAUCAACUUUGAGGACUACAUAUUAACUUGCUGCCCAAUAUAUCCCACCCACUGACAGGGGCCAUUGGAAUGAGUUUAUAAAUGAUAUUCCCUUUCCCUUGUAGCGGUAAUAGUGUUACGGUACUAUUUGAGACACAAAUGUAGAACGUGACGUAGAUAACGUUAGCCGCAAACUUGCAGAUGAUUGCAGAUUUUAGUGGUGAUAGUUGUGGGUCAGAUGUGCCUCAGAAAAAAAGAUUCUAUGAUUUCUUCAGUGGCCCUAAAGCCAAAUCUGCCGUCUGUUGUAAUGUAAAAUGUUUAAAACUGGUAUAAAAUGUUGUUGGGCACUCAAAUAAAUACAGAAAUGUCAAAUUAA